Molecule: ribosomal RNA, 428 nt
Filed under: uncultured bacterium
Lineage: Bacteria
Description: partial 16S ribosomal RNA
Rfam family: Bacterial small subunit ribosomal RNA
Source: RNAcentral
GUAGGGAAUAUUGCGCAAUGGACGAAAGUCUGACGCAGCGACGCCGCGUGAGUGAUGAAGGCCUUAGGGUCGUAAAGCUCUGUUGAAUGGGAAGAAAAAAAUGACGGUACCAUUCGAGGAAGGACCGGCUAACUUCGUGCCAGCAGCCGCGGUAAUACGAGGGGUCCUAGCGUUGUUCGGAAUCAUUGGGCGUAAAGGGUGUGUAGGUGGCCAUGUAAGUCAGGGGUGAAAGCCCCGGGCUCAACCCGGGAAGUGCACUUGAUACUGCGUGGCUUGAGUACCGAAGAGGGUAGUGGAAUUCCAGGUGUAGUGGUGAAAUACGUAGAUAUCUGGAGGAACACCGGUGGCGAAGGCGGCUACCUGGUCGAGUACUGACACUGAGACACGAAAGCAUGGGGAUCAAACAGGAUUAGAUACCCUUGUAGUCC